RNAcentral lists this ribosomal RNA (254 nucleotides) under uncultured bacterium. RNAcentral describes it as "partial 16S ribosomal RNA". It matches the Rfam family "Bacterial small subunit ribosomal RNA", at positions 524 to 777 of the family's 1533-position model. The record is from RNAcentral.
UACGAAGGGGGCGAGCGUUGUUCGGAUUUACUGGGCGUAAAGGGCGCGCAGGCGGCUCAUUUUGUCAGGCGUGAAAGCCCCGGGCUUAACCUGGGAACUGCGUUUGAUACUGAGGAGCUCGAGUCCGGAAGAGGUGAGUGGAACUGCGAGUGUAGAGGUGAAAUUCGUAGAUAUUCGCAAGAACACCAGUGGCGAAGGCGGCUCACUGGUCCGGUACUGACGCUGAGGUGCGAAAGCGUGGGGAGCAAACAGGG